AGCAGCUGCCAAAGCCAUUUUGCUUUGGAGAGUCUCCUCCUUCCUUACCUGCACUUUAGGGAUUACCCCACCUCUGUUUGCUUAACUAAUGAGACAAUAAAUGCAGUAAUGUGUUGAUGUUAUAGAUUGUUUCUUGGGGAUAAUCUUGGCUAAAUGUGUAUCUAAAAGAUAAUUUUUUUAUUGUAACAGUUUGGUAUCUGAAUGGGUUUCUAAAGCAUUGCACUAUCUUGCAGUUAAAAGUUGGGUUUAAGCAAUUGUUUAGUUUGAUUUCUGAUAGUUCAUGCUAGAAAACUUAAAUACUUAGGGUAAAAAAAUUAGAAAGUUUCAAUUUUGAACUGGGUAGCCUGAGAAAAUUCCACUAGGUAUUCCAGUGCAUUAACUUGGGCAAAGAUAAUAAAUUAUGAUAUGAUAUCUGUUCCCCUCAGUGUGUAAGAUUCAGAAAAAAAAAAGGGGGGGGGUGCUAAAUUAAAACGUUGGUCUGGCUUAUUGAAAUGACAUUAAUUAGCAACAGUCUUGGAAAUUUUUAAGGCUUGAUUUUGGAUAUACAUGAUAAAACUUAAUACUACCUUAGGAACUUCAGAACAAAGGAAGCAGCUUAAUGAUCCUGAGGAAAUUUCCUCUGAUGGUGGCCUUUAUAUUAUCAGAAAAAGAUCCUAUUUUCAGUUUUGUGUGGGCAAGUGUUUCUAAUGUAAAGAGAUAUAAAGAUAUAAAAUUUUGAAAAUUGUAUCUUAAACCUGAAAAUUAUGACUUAUAGCUAAAAUGACUUAUAGCUAUUAUGACUUAUAGCUAUAAUGCUGAGGUUUCUGCUCAGAAUUCCAGUUUUCCCAGUUCCUUCCAGACCUCAGCCAGGACUUAAGCUGAUAUGCAAAUAGAAGAAGCUUGGGGCACUCAGCAGGAGACAGAUUUCAGGCCCAAGGGAAAAAAAAAAAAAGGUUAAAGUGUCUUUUUACCUGAACUCAAACUAGACCCCAACCAAAAAGUAAAUUAUAUGCUAUUUAUUAAUUACUGGCCAGUCAUCUUUUUUAGGACUCUUGCUUUUUCUUAGAUUCUGUAUUUUUUUUGGAGCUUAUGAUUUUAAUCCCACAGACGGGUUAAUGUUUUCUGAUCAGUUCUAUUUCUGAUCAACUGUGGAGUUUUUAAACAUUGCAAUGGAGAUUUCACCUGAAAAAGCUACAAGGGUGUUACACUUGUGUUAUGUGUUGUAUGUCGGUAUGUCUGUAUGUGUGUAUCUCCAUAUAUCCUGCAGUGAUAUGACAAUUGACAGAUGAGGAGCGCUCAUAAAAAAAUUUAAAAAUGGAUCCAAAUAUCUUUGAUUCACGUGAUUCAAAUGGUUCAAUUUAAAUUGGGUAAACAGAUAAAAUGAUGGUGUCUAUAAAAUAAUCUGCUUAAAUUCAGAAAUUUACAGAUAUUGUUUUAAAGUGUGAACAAAAGGAGGUUAACAGAUGGAAAAGAAAAACUAGAAAGUUUUAGGUAUGGAUUUAAUAGAGGGAAAAUGUGUUUCUGGAUAAGAGAGUCUAUGUGAUUAAGUAAUUAAGAGGGUUUAAAUAAGUGAUAAAAAGGUCUGUGUAAGUUGGUUAUAUGUGUAAGUUUUUGAGCAAGUAAUCUUAAAGAAAUUAAAAAUUAUACAACUAUGGUUAAACAACAACUGUUAUUUUUCAGUACUUUUCUUGUGCUCUCUUACUCUGUAUAGUGUUCUUCCAAAACCAAUUGCAGAAAGUUUCUAAUUAGACUUUCAACCAGCUUCUGCUUAGGCACUACCGGCCUCUGACGACCGAUGAACCCCUAGCAUCUUCAAGAGAACAGUUCACUCAGUGCUGAAGCUCACUACCAAGCAUGAUGAAAUGCAAUGGACAUCAGACAGUGGGAGACAACAAGUUCGGAGAAUCUCAUAAUCUGCCAUCCUGGAUUCAUGAGUCUUUAUGUCCUUCUGAGCUUCCUCAUGGCCCUUGGUCUCUUUUCUGUCAGUCCCCCCAGCAUGGAACUUCUGCCAAAAAUUGACCUUUGCUUUAAUCUUUAUCUUCAUUCUGUUUUUAUUCGCUCUGAUUUUCUUCAGGUGCUGGUAACGCCAACUUGGCGCCUAUCUGGAAGAACUUACUAAUAAACGGGUUGCCUGCCACUUAUCUAAGCCCUACCAUCUCCCCCUUAGUUCUAUAUAAGCACACAGCUUUUUGCAAGGUUAAUUAUAGUGCUGUUAAUGUGUUCAUAUCUUCCAGGUAUACAAGUCUGUAAGGUAGAAGCUUCAAAAGAACAUUAUAUCGAGCUGGUGUUCUAAAGUUGUAUGGUAAUUUUAGGCUUAAAAGAAAAAAAAACAUGUUGGAGAUUUAUUCAUAUCAUUUGUGUUCUACAACUGGACUUGUUAUCAAUAAGAUAUGUACGGUCCCAUGUUACUUUCUACUCUGAGAUACAAUUUAUGUAUUUUUAAGUUAAUGAGAGCCUAAUCUGUGUGAAGGUUUUAUUGCAAAACACAAAAGUACAUUACUACUUUUCUACAAGAGGUUAAAAGCUUUCAGCCUUUAAUUCAUGUUUUAAAUGUGAUAUUAUGUUGUGUUAGCUAAUGUUCAUGUAAACUUGAACAACAAUUUAUGUAAACUUUGUAAAAUGAUCAGCUUCAGAACUAUAGUACUUGAGAUUUAUAAAGAGCCCUGCCUUACUUGAGAUAAGGCUCUGUCNGAAGCUGCUAUGAAGUUCCCCGAGGACUCCCAGGGAAACUCAGCUGACUGUUGACAAUAGAUAAGAACAAAAGUCAGUUUGACUUGCUUCAUCUUAAACACUUAGCAAAGAUAGUUAAAGCCAAAGCACAGCUGUUCCUAGACAUUUUAAAUGAUAAUAAUAAUUAAAUGUAACUUCCAAAAAUAAGUAAACUGGAGGCUACAAAAGAGAUUCUCAGACAGGAAUGUCUGAUAACUAUUAAAAGGAACUGCCAGAGUAGUUUUUAGUUUAAGGCCCACAGAUAUUCCUAACCUAUACAGGUAGGCUUGGUGUUUGCUAGUAUGGUUAUCCAGCCCUAAGUAGCAAAAUUAAAGGUUUCUCUAUUAGACUAUAUCUUAAAGGAAAAGGACAUCUGUAAAACUAAAUGUUAGUUGUUGUGUUUACAUCCCCGACAUUUCUGGCAAGGUGACAAAGGUCCUUAAAGAUUUACAUGCUCAGAUAGAAGCCAUGUCCUCAGCAACUUUGUCGUGGAAACAAUAUCUUAGCUCCUGGUUCUUGGUACUUCCUGGUGAAAAACAUUGUUAGUCUCUGUCUUGGCCAUUAUACUCAUUGGCAUAUUCCUGUGCUGUGACAUUUAUUGCUGCAUCAAUAUGGUUCCAGUAAAUUAAUGAAUUCUUGUUUCUCUUAUAGACCACCUAUCACUAGAAUGGCCCUCCAGCCUAAUACUUCUCAAUUGGACUUUUAUCAUGGACCACGCGAUAGACCCGAUAUUUUUAAAGGGGGACUCCAAACUGCUUGCCCCACACCGUCCCUUUUCAGCCUGAAGAAGCCGGAAAGAUUCUCUUCACCCCCCCUUCCUUACAGCAGUAAGGAGUUCCCAAAUUAGAGGGGGAAUUGAAGCCAGAUUUUAAGUUAGGUAGUCAGUGUAGUUAGAUAAAUCGGGGUCUAAUAUCGAGUGGAAUCUAAAAUGGAGGCCAUGCUGAAAAUGAUUCCAGGGAACGCAAACAACUCAUGAAAUGUGAAACCCUUCAAUAAUUGUGAUGCAUUACUUUUAAGAUUAAAAGUAGUCAGAAAAAGGAGUGGGGAAUGUAAGGGUAAAAGAAAUUGAAGUUAAAGCGUAAAAGUUAAAGGGUAAAAGACCGGGUGUUGUAAAGUUUCUAAGCUGCAAGGUCUGAGUUAAAAUGUAAAGGAUUAGGUAUUGUUAGG
Molecule: long non-coding RNA, 3855 nt
Filed under: Marmota monax (woodchuck)
Lineage: Eukaryota; Metazoa; Chordata; Mammalia; Rodentia; Sciuridae
Source: RNAcentral